AUGCAAUGAUUUAAAUUUAUAAAUCUUAAGAAUUCAAUUAUUCUUGUAACAUUAUAGAUUAUUAUUUUUGAAAUAUCUGUAGAUUGAAAUGUUCUUGGUCAAUUCUGCGGGUCGUUAUCACUUGCGCAUAUGCGAUUUCAGGUAUCGAUUACUCGCUGACUCACGAGAGGCCGGUAGUGUCGGCGAACCACUUCAAAAUUCGCAAUCCUGUAUCACAGAUGGAGCUACAUAGCGUUGUACUGUGUGGUCGCGUCAUUCGAGAUUCGAGCCUCUUGAGUAAAAGAAAUUACAUUUGCUUGUUCUCCCGACGACUAGCCAUCGAAAGCGAUCGAAAACGUUGAUAAUUAUCUGUUCUGGAAAUUUUGAGUAAGCCAAAGUCAUCCGACGUCCGCUGGAUAUUGCCGCAGCAUCGACUUCAGACCGAAGAAUUUACGGACGUAAGGAGCACCGGCGUGAUCCUGCGUGAGGUCACGCUGGAAGAAAGUUAGCGGCAAUUCCGAGAGUGCUUGAGGUCACGCUGCAACAAUCACGUCACUCUCGAUCCAGCUAAUGACGCAUCUACCAGAGGAAAGGAAGAUCCAUUGACCUCCCCCCCGCUUUUAUUUUAGUACAUCUUCGAGCAGAGGAGCUUCGCGGAGCGUUGGGUAAGUUUCAUGAAAAUCUACCUGUGUAUCUCACUUAAAAUAGAAACAGAGUUGUGAUCGAGGUCACAUUAGAUUUCUCACAUCACCGCGUUUCGCCCGUCGACAUAUCUGCUCCCCUUUGCGUG
This is a long non-coding RNA of Wasmannia auropunctata (little fire ant), 769 nucleotides long. RefSeq lists it as uncharacterized. The transcript has 3 exons. The record is from RefSeq and is a predicted model, not a curated record. NCBI's taxonomy places the organism in Eukaryota, Metazoa, Arthropoda, Insecta, Hymenoptera, Formicidae.